RNAcentral lists this ribosomal RNA (468 nucleotides) under uncultured bacterium. RNAcentral's name for it is "partial 16S ribosomal RNA". It matches the Rfam family "Bacterial small subunit ribosomal RNA", at positions 28 to 507 of the family's 1533-position model. The record is from RNAcentral.
GACGAACGCUGGUGGCGUGCUUAACACAUGCAAGUCGAACGGAAAGGCCCUGCUUUUGUGGGGGGCUCGAGUGGCGAACGGGUGAGUAACACGUGAGUAACCUGCCCUUGACUUUGGGAUAACUUCAGGAAACUGGGGCUAAUACCGGAUAGGAGCUCCUGCUGCAUGGUGGGGGUUGGAAAGUUUCGGCGGUUGGGGAUGGACUCGCGGCUUAUCAGCUUGUUGGUGGGGUAGUGGCUUACCAAGGCUUUGACGGGUAGCCGGCCUGAGAGGGUGACCGGCCACAUUGGGACUGAGAUACGGCCCAGACUCCUACGGGAGGCAGCAGUGGGGAAUAUUGCACAAUGGGCGGAAGCCUGAUGCAGCAACGCCGCGUGCGGGAUGACGGCCUUCGGGUUGUAAACCGCUUUCGCCUGUGACGAAGCGUGAGUGACGGUAAUGGGUAAAGAAGCACCGGCUAACUACGUG